AAAAUAAAUAGUGAAUUGAAUCAUCUCACUAACUAUUUAAAUUAAAAUCAACUGAAAAAGUGAGAGUAGCGGUGAGCGAAAUCAUAAAGCCUAA
Molecule: ribosomal RNA, 94 nt
Filed under: Strombidium inclinatum
Lineage: Eukaryota; Ciliophora; Spirotrichea; Strombidiidae
Description: partial Bacterial large subunit ribosomal RNA
Source: RNAcentral